Molecule: long non-coding RNA, 1455 nt
Filed under: Anolis carolinensis (green anole)
Lineage: Eukaryota; Metazoa; Chordata; Lepidosauria; Squamata; Anolidae
Description: lncRNA (ENSACAG00000041786.1)
Source: RNAcentral
AUGCCCUGCCUCAUGCACAGAGGAAGAAUUGUUGAAAGCUACAGACAAUGCCGUUGCCGUUUUUGGUCCAAAAUUAUUCAGCCGGUUGUGCUCCCUCUAUUCUGUCAGUUUUACACUUAUUUAUGCAAUGCUAGUCGAACAACUCCGCAUCUGUAUGUUUGCCCACAAUGCCUUGCCUCAUGCACAGAGGAAGAAUUGUUGAAAGCUACAGACAAUGCUGUCCCUGUUGCCCGUUUUUGGUCCAAAAUUAUUCAGCCGGUUGUGUUCCCUCUAUUCUGUCAGUUUUACACUUAUUUAUGCAAUGCUACAGUUGAACAACUCCGCAUCUGUAUGCUUGCCCACAAUGCCCUGCUUCAUGCACAGAGGAAGAAUUGUUGAAAGCUACAGACAAUGCUGUCCCUGUUGCCCGUUUUUGGUCCAAAAUUAUUCAGCUGGUUGUGUUCCCUCUAUUUUGUCAGUUUUAUACUUAUUUAUGCGAUGCUUUUGACAAAAUAAAUAAACUAAGCCCAUCUGAAAACCACUUCCGACAACAUGGCAAACGACGUGAUUUUUUCCCCAUCCCUCCCCCCAAAGCCAUUGUACAUCGGAUGCCACUAUUUUCCAAAUGACCAGCUUCCCAACAGUUUUUGUAGACUUCUUUAAUACAAAACAAACCAAACAAAAUACGCAUCAUUGGCAUUUUAUGUAGUACGUAUACAUUCUUUGUAUCUGCAGGUCCAGAAGGCAAAAGCAAAGGCGGGGGAGAUGAUUGUGUGUCUUUGGUAGUUCUCCCAUGUCGCCUCUUGACAUGACAAAGAGGUCCCAGAACAAAGUGAAGAAAGGAGUCCAAAGAGAGAAGCAGGCCAUGAUACAGUAGUUGGAUUUCAAAAGAUUAAGGAGGUCCAUUUGUAUCCCUAAAUAUGCUAACCUUUCAUUAGACGAAAUUAAGGCUUCCCUGAAGACGACCCGCUUGUGGAAACCGCCCGGUCAAAUUCUAUCCUUUAGACUUGAUGCAGCCUGAACUAAAGCUUGUCUCCCUUCACCUCAACACAACUCCGGAUCCUAGGGUUGCGCCCAUUCUGCCAGGCCUGGAUCCCUAAAAACACGGUACAAAAGCCACUGAGUAUUUGCCAGCCGAUAUAUAACUCUGUGCUGCAAAGGCAAGACCCGCUGGUUCUAUUUUACACAGCACCAAUGUAUACGCUUGUGUCCCCAGAGAUACAGAUAUAUACAUAAUUAAUUCGUGCAAAGUGAAAUGGCAGAUCUUCCCUUUGGGGCACAGGUCGGCUUUUGCAUUGUAUAUGCUCAUAUAUACUUACACACCUAAGCAGCUAUAUUUUAUAUAUAUCUAUAUACACAUACACACGCACACACAGCACAUGCCAUAUAUAAAAAAGCCAUCACAAGAGAUAUACAUGGGAACACACCAGAGCAACGUAUAUCUAAUUAUGUACAUAUUUUUUCACAGUUGAGAAU